UGAAUACGAGACGCUAAGGCGUCGAAGUAGUGUAUGUCAUACUUCCAAGAAAAGCUUGCACUGUCAUAGAUAAAAAACGCCUGUACCAUAACCGACACAGGUGGGUAGGUAGAGUAUACUAAGGGGCGCGAGAUAACUCUCUCUAAGGAACUCGGCAAAAUAACUCCGUAACUUCGGGAGAAGGAGUGCCUUAUUCGUAAGGUUGCAAUAACAAGAUCCAAGCAACUGUUUAUCAAAAACACAGGUCUCCGCUAAGUCGUAAGACGAUGUAUGGGGGCUGACGCCUGCCCAGUGCCAGAAGGUUAAAGAAGUUGGUUAGCAAUUGCGAAGCUGAUAACUGAAGCCCUGGUGAACGGCGGCCGUAACAAUAACGGUCCUAAGGUAGCGAAAUUCCUUGUCGGGUAAGUUCCGACCCGCACGAAAGGCGUAAUGAUUUGGAUACUGUCUCGGAGAGGGGCUCGGUGAAAUAGACUUGUCUGUGAAGAUGCGGACUACCUGCACCAGGACAGAAAGACCCUAUGAAGCUUUACUGUAACUUGAAAUUGAAAUUGGACUUUAUUCGCGCAGUAUAGGUGGGAGGCGUUGAUUAUAAUCUUGUGGGAUUAUUGGAGCCAUCAGUGGGAUACCACUCUUGUAAUGUUAGAUUUCUAACUUUGAAUCAUUAUCUGGUCAAAGAACAGUUUCAGGCGGGCAGUUUGACUGGGGCGGUCGCCUCCUAAACGGUAACGGAGGCGUACAAAGGUUUCCUCUGAACGGUUAGAAAUCGUAUCUAGAGUGUAAAGGCAUAAGGAAGCUUGACUGUGAGACCUACAAGUCGAGCAGGGACGAAAGUCGGUCUUAGUGAUCUGACGGUACUGAGUGGAAAGGCCGUCACUCAACGGAUAAAAGUUACUCUAAGGAUAACAGGCUGAUCUCCCCCAAGAGUUCACAUCGACGGGGAGGUUUGGCACCUCGAUGUCGGCUCAUCGCAUCCUGGGGCGGUAGUACGUCCCAAGGGUUGGGCUGUUCGCCCAUGAAAGCGGUACGCGAGCUGGGUUCAGAACGUCGUGAGACAGUUCGGUCCAUAUCCGGUGUAGGCGUUAGAAUAUUGAGAGGAGCCUUCUUUAGUACGAGAGGACCGAGAAGGACAUACCUCUGGUGUACCAGUUAUCGUGCCAACGGUAAACGCUGGGUAGCUAUGUAUGGAGUGGAUAACCGCUGAAAGCAUCUAAGUGGGAAGCCCACCUCAAGAUAAGUAUUCUCAGC
RNAcentral lists this ribosomal RNA (1245 nucleotides) under metagenome. Its description in RNAcentral is "bacterial LSU rRNA". It matches the Rfam family "Bacterial large subunit ribosomal RNA", at positions 1564 to 2818 of the family's 2925-position model. The record is from RNAcentral.